RNAcentral lists this long non-coding RNA (329 nucleotides) under Phoenix dactylifera (date palm). Its description in RNAcentral is "long non-coding RNA (PDAC_LNC014116)". Lineage: Eukaryota; Viridiplantae; Streptophyta; Magnoliopsida; Arecales; Arecaceae. The record is from RNAcentral.
AAAAUCGGAGGCCGGCCCAGAGUGACUCCGAGUGCACUCCGAUCCGGCCUACCGGAGGAUCGGUUACCCGAUCCCUUCGCCUGGCGGGUUCCAAACGGAACCCGUGAAGAGGGAAAAACCACUCUUCGGCCAUCUCGACCUCCAGGACACUCAUGGUGGACACUACUUCGCUAGGCAAAGAACCCAUUACAAGAGAGGGAAAUCAAAAAGAAGGGGGACCUGGGAAGGAAGCCGGAGAGAAGGGACUUCGGUUUGAGGAAGACUGGGAGAAUAGGAAGCUGGAAGCAGAAAGCAAUGGAAAGAGAACAGGGGGCCGGGGGAGAGUUUAU